Molecule: long non-coding RNA, 277 nt
Organism: Oncorhynchus tshawytscha (Chinook salmon)
Lineage: Eukaryota; Metazoa; Chordata; Actinopteri; Salmoniformes; Salmonidae
Source: Ensembl
AGGGGGUACUGGUACAGAGUCAAUGUGGAGGCUAUAUACAUGGUGUUAUGGUACAGAGUCAAUGUGGAGGCUAUAUACAGGGGGUACCGGUACAGAGUCAAUGUGGAGGCUAUAUACAUGGUGUUACGGUACAGAGUCAAUGUGGAGGCUAUAUACAUGGUGUUACGGUACAGAGUCAAUGUGGAGGCUAUAUACAGGGGGCACUGGUACAGAGUCAAUGUGGAGGCUAUAUACAUGGUGUUAUGGUACAGAGUCAAUGUGGAGGCUAUAUACAGGG